CUACGGGCGGCUCCAGUGGGGAAUAUUGCACAAUGGGGGGAACCCUGAUGCAGCAACGCCGCGUGGAGGAUGACGCAUUUCGGUGUGUAAACUCCUUUUAUAUGUCAAGAAAAUGACGGUAGCAUAUGAAUAAGCACCGGCUAACUCCGUGCCAGCAGCCGCGGUAAUACGGAGGGUGCAAGCGUUACUCGGAAUCACUGGGCGUAAAGGACGCGUAGGCGGGUUGGAAAGUCAGGUGUGAAAUCCUACAGCUUAACUGUAGAACUGCACUUGAAACUUCUAAUCUAGAGUAUGGGAGGGGGAGAUGGAAUUAGUGGUGUAGGGGUAAAAUCCGUAGAUAUCACUAGGAAUACCUAAAGCGAAGGCGAUCUCCUGGAACAUUACUGACGCUAAGGCGUGAAAGCGUGGGGAGCAAACAGGAUUAGAUACCCUAGUAGUC
Molecule: ribosomal RNA, 439 nt
Filed under: uncultured bacterium
Lineage: Bacteria
Description: partial 16S ribosomal RNA
Rfam family: Bacterial small subunit ribosomal RNA
Source: RNAcentral